UACAGAGGGUGCGAGCGUUAAUCGGAAUUACUGGGCGUAAAGCGUGCGCAGGCGGUGCUGUAAGACCGAUGUGAAAUCCCCGGGCUUAACCUGGGAACUGCAUUGGUGACUGCAGCGCUGGAGUAUGGCAGAGGGGGGUGGAAUUCCACGUGUAGCAGUGAAAUGCGUAGAGAUGUGGAGGAACACCGAUGGCGAAGGCAGCCCCCUGGGCCAAUACUGACGCUCAUGCACGAAAGCGUGGGGAGCGAACAGG
This 253-nucleotide ribosomal RNA is filed under the name uncultured bacterium. RNAcentral's name for it is "partial 16S ribosomal RNA". It matches the Rfam family "Bacterial small subunit ribosomal RNA", at positions 524 to 776 of the family's 1533-position model. The record is from RNAcentral.